RNAcentral lists this ribosomal RNA (400 nucleotides) under uncultured bacterium. Its description in RNAcentral is "bacterial SSU rRNA". It matches the Rfam family "Bacterial small subunit ribosomal RNA", at positions 355 to 771 of the family's 1533-position model. The record is from RNAcentral.
UGGGGAAUUUUGCUCAAUGGACGAAAGUCUGAAGCAGCAACGCCGCGUGGAGGAUGAAGGAUUUCGGUUUGUAAACUCCUUUUAUAAGGGAAGAAAUUUGACGGUACCUUAUGAAUAAGCACCGGCUAACUCCGUGCCAGCAGCCGCGGUAAUACGGAGGGUGCAAGCGUUACUCGGAAUCACUGGGCGUAAAGGGAGCGUAGGCGUCUUAUUAAGUCUUGCGUGAAAGCCUACAGCUUAACUGUAGAACUGCGUGGGAAACUGAUAAGAUAGAGUAUGGAAGAGGUAGGUGGAAUUUCCAGUGUAGGGGUAAAAUCCGUAGAUAUUGGAAGGAAUACCAGAAGCGAAGGCGACCUGCUGGGACAUUACUGACGCUGAGGCUCGAAAGCGUGGGGAGCAA